UCAGAGGGGGGUAGAAUNCCACGUGUAGCAGUGAAAUGCGUAGAGAUGCGGAGGAAUACCGAUGGCGAAGGCAGCCCCCUGGGAUAAUACUGACGUUCAUGCUCGAAAGCGUGGGUAGCAAACAGGAUUAGAUACCCUGGUAGUCCACGCCCUAAACGAUGUCGAUUAGCUGUUGGGCAGCUUGACUGCUUAGUAGCGUAGCUAACGCGUGAAAUCGACCGCCUGGGGAGUACGGUCGCAAGAUUAAAACUCAAAGGAAUUGACGGGGACCCGCACAAGCGGUGGAUGAUGUGGAUUAAUUCGAUGCAACGCGAAGAACCUUACCUGGUCUUGACAUGUACGGAACCUUCCAGAGACGGAAGGCUGCCUUCGGGAGCCGUAACACAGGUGCUGCAUGGCUGUCGUCAGCUCGUGUCGUGAGAUGUUGGGUUAAGUCCCGCAACGAGCGCAACCCUUGUCAUUAGUUGCCAUCAUUCAGUUGGGCACUCUAAUGAGACUGCCUGUGACAAACCGGAGGAAGGUGGGGAUGACGUCAAGUCCUCAUGGCCCUUAUGACCAGGGCUUCACACGUCAUACAAUGGUCGGUACAAAGGGUAGCCAAGCCGCGAGGCGGAGCCAAUCUCAUAAAACCGAUCGUAGUCCGGAUUGCACUCUGCAACUCGAGUGCAUGAAGUCGGAAUCGCUAGUAAUCGCAGGUCAGCAUACUGCGGUGAAUACGUUCCCGGGUCUUGUAC
RNAcentral lists this ribosomal RNA (734 nucleotides) under uncultured bacterium. Its description in RNAcentral is "bacterial SSU rRNA". It matches the Rfam family "Bacterial small subunit ribosomal RNA", at positions 651 to 1386 of the family's 1533-position model. The record is from RNAcentral.